Molecule: non-coding RNA, 485 nt
Organism: Spodoptera litura
Lineage: Eukaryota; Metazoa; Arthropoda; Insecta; Lepidoptera; Noctuidae
Source: RefSeq, a predicted model, not a curated record
GAAGGCAUGAAUUGCGAGUCCCGGUGUUGGGGUAAAGGCUGCGAAGCUACAUGUACACUCCUGUCCUGUAUCUACACUAUCAAUGGAGAGACUCUUGUCACAAAUGCCACAUUUGAUCAGUUAUAUCCGAACUAUGACAACAAGCCUAAGAAUGAUGGUCGUCAAGCGCAACGUGUGGAGCAACCCGAAGACAAUACGAAACUAAAAAAUGAGGAUUAUUAUUAUUAGAAAAUUAAAUUAAAGGAUACGCUAGGAGACAAACGUCCUGGGACACGUGUCGCCAGCGACGUUGGGUGAAGUAGCGCAACGUUGCCGGACUUUGGUUGACAUCUUUGGCAAAGUCAACGUCGCUGUGGACAUAAGUUGCACGUUGUCACUGUAUAAAUCUGGUGACAUCGGCCGGUUUCAUUUGAUAUGUCGCCGAUACAUGUUUUGGGACAUUUUUUCCCAGUGUAUCCUUAUCUUAAUAUUUUUGCUAACUAAAG